CCUACGGGAGGCAGCAGUGGGGAAUCUUGCGCAAUGGGCGAAAGCCUGACGCAGCCAUGCCGCGUGAAUGAUGAAGGUCUUAGGAUUGUAAAAUUCUUUCACCGGGGACGAUAAUGACGGUACCCGGAGAAGAAGCCCCGGCUAACUUCGUGCCAGCAGCCGCGGUAAUACGAAGGGGGCUAGCGUUGCUCGGAAUUACUGGGCGUAAAGGGAGCGUAGGCGGAUAGUUUAGUCAGAGGUGAAAGCCCAGGGCUCAACCUUGGAAUUGCCUUUGAUACUGGCUAUCUUGAGUACGGAAGAGGUAUGUGGAACUCCGAGUGUAGAGGUGAAAUUCGUAGAUAUUCGGAAGAACACCAGUAGCGAAGGCGACAUACUGGUCCGUUACUGACGCUGAGGCUCGAAAGCGUGGGGAGCAAACAGGAUUAGAUACCCUGGUAGUCCACGCUGUAAACGAUGAGUGCUAGUUGUCGGCAUGCAUGCAUGUCGGUGACGCAGCUAACGACAUUAAGACACUCCGCCGUCGGGGAGGUACGGUCGCGAAGAAUUAAAACUAACAAAUAGAAGUUAGACGGCGUGAGACGUGCCGAACGGACGACGACGAGGGAGGUUAGG
Molecule: ribosomal RNA, 612 nt
Filed under: uncultured bacterium
Lineage: Bacteria
Description: bacterial SSU rRNA
Rfam family: Bacterial small subunit ribosomal RNA (bases 1-519)
Source: RNAcentral